RNAcentral lists this ribosomal RNA (134 nucleotides) under uncultured eukaryote. RNAcentral's name for it is "partial small subunit ribosomal RNA". It matches the Rfam family "Eukaryotic small subunit ribosomal RNA", at positions 1651 to 1782 of the family's 1831-position model. The record is from RNAcentral.
CCCUGCCAUUUGUACACACCGCCCGUCGCUACUACCGAUUGAAUGGCUCAGUGAGGCCUUCGGACUGGCUCGAGGAGGUUGGCAACGACCACCUCAAGCCGGAAAGUUCGUCAAACUCGGUCAUUUAGAGGAAG